UGACCUCGAAUCAGGUAGGGAUACCCGCUGAACUUAAGCAUAUCAAUAAGCGGAGGAAAAGAAACCAACAGGGAUUGCCUUAGUAACGGCGAGUGAAGCGGCAAUAGCUCAAAUUUGAAAUCUGGCUUCCUUGGAAGUCCGAGUUGUAAUUUGCAGAGGGCGCUUUGGCGUCGGUAGCGGUCUAAGUUCCUUGGAACAGGACGUCACAGAGGGUGAGAAUCCCGUACGUGGUCGACUACCUUCGCCGUGUAAAGCCCCUUCGACGAGUCGAGUUGUUUGGGAAUGCAGCUCUAAAUGGGAGGUAAAUUUCUUCUAAAGCUAAAUACUGGCCAGAGACCGAUAGCGCACAAGUAGAGUGAUCGAAAGAUGAAAAGCACUUUGGAAAGAGAGUCAAACAGCACGUGAAAUUGUUGAAAGGGAAGCGCUUGCCGCCAGACGUGCCCGUGGUGGUUCUCCUCCGCGGGCAGGCCAGCAUCAGUUUGGGCGAUCGGAUAAAGGCCUCUGUCAUGUAUCUCCCUUCGGGGUGACCUUAUAGGGGAGGCGCAAUGCGAUCAGCCCGGACUGAGGUCCGCGCAUCUGCUAGGAUGCUGGCGUAAUGGCUGUAA
RNAcentral lists this ribosomal RNA (605 nucleotides) under Dictyosporium elegans. RNAcentral's name for it is "eukaryotic LSU rRNA". It matches the Rfam family "Eukaryotic large subunit ribosomal RNA", at positions 1 to 643 of the family's 3401-position model. Lineage: Eukaryota; Fungi; Ascomycota; Dothideomycetes; Pleosporales; Dictyosporiaceae. The record is from RNAcentral.